UACGUAGGGGGCGAGCGUUGUUCGGAAUUACUGGGCGUAAAGGGAGCGUAGGCGGAUCCGUAAGUUAGAAGUUUAAUGCGCAGGCUCAACCUGUGACCUGCUUUUAAUACUGCGGAACUUGAGUAUGGAAGAGGGAGAUGGAAUUCCAGGUGUAGCGGUGGAAUGCGUAGAUAUCUGGAAGAACACCAUUAGCGAAGGCGGUCUCCUGGUCCAAUACUGACGCUGAGGCUCGAAAGCUAGGGGAG
RNAcentral lists this ribosomal RNA (245 nucleotides) under uncultured bacterium. RNAcentral's name for it is "partial 16S ribosomal RNA". It matches the Rfam family "Bacterial small subunit ribosomal RNA", at positions 524 to 768 of the family's 1533-position model. The record is from RNAcentral.